This is a long non-coding RNA of Daucus carota subsp. sativus, 980 nucleotides long. RefSeq lists it as uncharacterized. The transcript is spliced from 3 exons. The record is from RefSeq and is a predicted model, not a curated record. NCBI's taxonomy places the organism in Eukaryota, Viridiplantae, Streptophyta, Magnoliopsida, Apiales, Apiaceae.
UUCUGAACUCUGCUUGCACUCAUAGCUUUUUGAGACUAUGUUUCUUCCUAUUUAAAUAUCAAUAACUGAGUGAUUGCUGGCACAAGGACAACGAAUUUUAAAUGUUAUCUGUAUCGUUUAUACAUUCUGUAAAUUGUAUAACAUUCAGGAAUGCGUUAAAAUGUGGAAAUAAUAACGCAUCAUGUCCAUUUAAUCUGAUUUUUCAUUGUUUAUCUGCUAAGCUCUAAUAAAUCAUUGUUGCUGUCAAUAUCUUUGCAGCAGCCCCCGGCCCUUUCUGAUAAUGUGAGACCCUUUUUUGGUACGAUGCUCACCCCUCAUUCAGCACAUCAACAUCAAGAACGAAAAAACCAGAUGACGGACCAGAAGUUCAGAUAAAUGCACUCUGUCGCAGUGGCACAAGAUUAUAUGGGUUGGGGAAUAUGACUUCUUGAAUUGUAAUAAUGCAUCCAGUGUCACAAGUGCUACAGCAUAACACGCCAAUGGAUGGGACUCUUACUCAUGCUGCGAGGGCAAGUAGACAAUGAUCCGCAUUUUUAUGAAUUAUUGAGGAAGGCGGGGUAGAACGAGAUGGUGGUAACCAAUUUUGGACUAAGCACCAGGAAGCCUUUCAGCUCAUGGUCAUGUGGCCUGAGAGACAGGAACAUUGCUGCAUACUGCCGGAGUCUCUGCUCACUGUCCCUGCCACUGUCACUACCACCGCCAUUUACAGUUACAUGAUUCAUCGGGGGCCUCGUCCUUGUCAUGUAACGCCUCCAACCCAACUGUAUAUUAACAGCUGCCCAGGUUCUCCAGUUUGAUGAAUAGUAUCUCGCUGUUCUCUUCAGCCUCUCAUUUGCAAACUUGUAGCGGAAGUGAUCAGUAAUGUAUCGAAGAUUAUUUGCACUUAGUGCAAAUGCCUCUGUUGACUCGAUGCAUGUAAAUGUGGCUGAGGAGGAAGGUAGCCUGUCCACAAACGGACGUCGAAGGCACCAUGACAGGAG